GGAGUUUGGGCCGUGUCUCAGUCCCAAUGUGGCCGGUCACCCUCUCAGGUCGGCUACGGAUCAUCACCUUGGUAGGCCGUUACCCUGCCAACUAGUUAAUCCGACGCGGGCCCAUCCUGCACCGAUAAAUCUUUCCACCCUCUGCCAUGCGGCAGCGUGUGCAUAUGCGGUAUUAACAGCCGUUUCCAGCUGUUAUCCCCCUGUGCAGGGCAGGUUACCCACGUGUUACUCACCCAUCCGCCGCUAAGAUAAAGAAAGUAUCCGAAGAAUCUCUCUAUAUCUCCGCUCGACUUGCAUGUGUUAGGCACGCCGCCAGCGUUCAUC
RNAcentral lists this ribosomal RNA (324 nucleotides) under uncultured Clostridia bacterium. RNAcentral's name for it is "partial 16S ribosomal RNA". Lineage: Bacteria; Bacillati; Bacillota; Clostridia. The record is from RNAcentral.